This is a long non-coding RNA of Salvia splendens (bonfire salvia), 1729 nucleotides long. RefSeq lists it as uncharacterized. The record is from RefSeq and is a predicted model, not a curated record. The transcript has 8 exons. Lineage: Eukaryota; Viridiplantae; Streptophyta; Magnoliopsida; Lamiales; Lamiaceae.
UCUACGUAAUUUUAAUAAACAAAGCCUUUUUGCAACUGUUAUCGUCUGUCCCUAUAUAUUCACAUAUGUGUAGUGAUUUCAAAUCUAAUAGGUCAUGCAAAAAUGGGUCAUUUUCAAGUGUAUUCCUUUAAUAGUACUAUGUUUCAAAUUUAUCUUAGUGUUAAAUGAAGGGUCAUGAAUCAUGAUAUUAAUUUAAAUUAUUUUUGCUUAAAUCUUGUUUCUCAAGUAUAUAUAUUGAUCAUAAGUUUAUGACUUUGACAUUUUUCUUUAUUGUCUUGUGGUGAGGAGGAAAAUUUUGCUUAAAUCUUGUUCAAAAUUUCAACACGGUACAUGUAUGAAUAAAGGAGGAAAAUUACAACUAAUGUUAAGAGGGCUCGAACUCGGCACCUCAUACAAUAAUGUCUAAGCUCCUUGCCGCGAGGACAAAGGCUCUGGACAACAUUAAAGACGUGGUUGACUAAACCGAGUAUUAAACGACAACUUCCAUAUCUCAUUUCCCUCUUAUACAAUUGUCCUGCCCAUUAAGGUGCCUACAAAUUAGGGCGGGGAAUAGUCAUUGAGCUCGCCGGUGAAUAUCCUUGUUAUUGACUCAAUUAUUGCAUGGUGCUGAAAAAUAGAUACGGAUGAAGAUUAUGCAAAAAUUACUUUGAUAUACCUAUACUGGAAUUGAUUGCCAAGGAUCUACAUGGAAAUGAAUGGCAAUUGAAGCAUAUAUCUAAUUUUGAGGUGAUCAGAUACCGUGUUUGCUUUCUAGUUGUUGUUUAACCUAGGAGGCAUUUGCUAACUACAGGCAGGGUGGAGUACAUUUGUCACUUCUAAGAGUAUAGUUUCUGCUGGUGACACUUUGGUAUUUCUAAGCUACUUAUAGAUGUUGUAUAUGAGGUAGACAGCAUUUCAUUCUGAGGAUUUCUAUUUUCUGAGUUGAAUUCAAUUUCAAACCACAUUCUCUAGUUAUAUCCCAACACUCGCUCCCCCUUACGAGAGAGUGUGAGUUCACUACUACAAGAUGGUUUCAGACCUACUUCUACACACAAACCAUCGACCACUUCACCUAUGCGACGUUCUCUCAGAAGUACGUCGUGAAUGCAAGGUAUUGGGGUGGCCCGAACUUGAACAGGCCCAUUUUCACAUACCUAGGCGCGGAGCAUCUGCUAGUCGUCAUCAACAAUAAUGCUCCCCACUUCAAGGCCCUCUCCGUCUUCAUAGAGAGAAUCGGUCCCCUUCGGAACGAUCUGCAGAAUGAGACCACCCGGGGAUAAUUUAAUUCGGCUCAAGCACUAGCCGACUAUGCUGAGAUCCUGCUGAGCGUGAAGGAGACGUUCUUGGGGUAUGAUUCUCCUGUUAUCGUCGUCGGAGGAUCGAUACGGUGGAAAUACCCACACUUAGCCCUCGGCGCUCUAGCUUCGUCAGCUCCAGUUCUCUACUUCGACGACAUGGUAGAAAAUGGAUAUUUCUCCGUAGUCACCAAGACGACACUGGCGAGAGCUGUUACGAAGCCAUGGGAUGAAAUUGACUAUGUUGCGUCAAUGCCAGGAGGCCUCGUAACUACUUUACAUUAAUCCAACAAUAUUAUAAAUAUUAGCAAUAUAUAGAUUACUGAAUUAAUGUCUUUAACAAUUAUUAUUAUAGUUAUUAAUUGUACAAUAUAAAAUGAACCGAUUUUUGUAUUUGAGGUCUAUAUAUCCAGCUUUAUUUAUAUAGGCCCAAUUAUUAAUUACACUGAGUUAUC